CUUCGACAUCAUUGCUUGACUGGUACUUAUUUUAUCGACACCGAGAGGAGGAAAGGCAAAGUCGACCUCGGCGAAAUCUGAUCUCAUAAUGUAGCGACAGGUAAAAUACUAUC
Molecule: long non-coding RNA, 113 nt
Organism: Octopus sinensis (East Asian common octopus)
Lineage: Eukaryota; Metazoa; Mollusca; Cephalopoda; Octopoda; Octopodidae
Exons: 3
Source: RefSeq, a predicted model, not a curated record